AGUGAACGCUGGCGGUAGGCCUAACACAUGCAAGUCGAACGGCAGCACAGUAAGAGCUUGCUCUUACGGGUGGCGAGUGUCGGACGGGUGAGGAAUACAUCGGAAUCUACUUUUUCGUGGGGGAUAACGUAGGGAAACUUACGCUAAUACCGCAUACGACCUACGGGUGAAAGCAGGGGAUCUUCGGACCUUGCGCGAUUGAAUGAGCCGAUGUCGGAUUAGCUAGUUGGCGGGGUAAAGGCCCACCAAGGCGACGAUCCGUAGCUGGUCUGAGAGGAUGAUCGGCCACACUGAAACUGAGACAGGGUGCAGACUCCUACGGGAGGCAGCAGUGGGGAAUAUUGAACAAUGGGCGGAAGCCUGAUCCAGCCAUACCGCGUGGGUGAAGAAGGCCUUCGGGUUGUAAAGCCCUUUUGUUGGGAAAGAAAAGCAGCAGGAUAAUACCCCGCUGUUCUGACGGUACCCAAAGAAUAAGCACCGGCUAACUUCGUG
This 492-nucleotide ribosomal RNA is filed under the name uncultured bacterium. Its description in RNAcentral is "partial 16S ribosomal RNA". It matches the Rfam family "Bacterial small subunit ribosomal RNA", at positions 29 to 507 of the family's 1533-position model. The record is from RNAcentral.